This 583-nucleotide ribosomal RNA is filed under the name uncultured bacterium. Its description in RNAcentral is "bacterial SSU rRNA". It matches the Rfam family "Bacterial small subunit ribosomal RNA", at positions 335 to 919 of the family's 1533-position model. The record is from RNAcentral.
AUUCCUACGGGAGGCAGCAGUAAGGAAUAUUGCUCAAUGGCCGAAAGGCUGAAGCAGCAACGCCGCGUGGAGGAAGAAUGGCUUUUGCUUGUAAACUCCUGUAUGAGGGGAAAAAAUCUCGCCUUUGGCGAGGAUGAUGGUACCCUCGGAGUAAGCCCCGGCUAACUACGUGCCAGCAGCCGCGGUAAUACGUAGGGGGCAAGCGUUGUCCGGAUUUAUUGGGUGUAAAGGGUGCUCAGGCGGAUUUGUAAGUCAGAGGUGAAAUCUCCCGGCUCAACCGGGAAACUGCCUUUGAUACUGCAAGCCUUGAGUUUGGAAGAGGAUGAUGGAAUAUCUGGUGUAGCAGUGAAAUGCGUAGAUAUCAGAUAGAACACCAAUGGCGAAGGCAGUCAUCUGGUCCAUAACAGACGCUAAAGCACGAAAGCGUGGGUAGCAAACAGGAUUAGAUACCCUGGUAGUCCACGCCCUAAACGAUGAAUACUAGACGUUGGGUCCGCAAGGAUUCAGUGUCUGAGCUAACGCAUUAAGUAUUCCACCUGGGAAGUACGAUCGCAAGGUUGAAACUCAAAUGAAUUGACGGAAU